GACGAACGCUGGCGGCGUGCCUAAUACAUGCAAGUUGAGCGCUGAAGGUUGGUACUUGUACCAACUGGAUGAGCAGCGAACGGGUGAGUAACGCGUGGGGAAUCUGCCUUUGAGCGGGGGACAACAUUUGGAAACGAAUGCUAAUACCGCAUUAAAACUUUAAACACAAGUUUUAAGUUUGAAAGAUGCAAUUGCAUCACUCAAAGAUGAUCCCGCGUUGUAUUAGCUAGUUGGUGAGGUAAAGGCUCACCAAGGCGAUGAUACAUAGCCGACCUGAGAGGGUGAUCGGCCACAUUGGGACUGAGACACGGCCCAAGCUCCUACGGGAGGCAGCAGUAGGGAAUCUUCGGCAAUGGACGAAAGUCUGACCGAGCAACGCCGCGUGAGUGAAGAAGGUUUUCGGAUCGUAAAAAUCUGUUGGUAGAGAAGAACGUUGGUGGGAGUGGAAAGCUCAUCAAGUGACGGUAACUACCCAGAAAGGGACGGCUAACUACGUG
Molecule: ribosomal RNA, 497 nt
Filed under: uncultured bacterium
Lineage: Bacteria
Description: partial 16S ribosomal RNA
Rfam family: Bacterial small subunit ribosomal RNA
Source: RNAcentral